GAAAGUAGAAAAGGGCGCAAGGUGGAUGCCUUGGCUCACGGAGGCGAUGAAGGACGUGAUAAGCUGCGAUAAGCCUCGGGUAGGUGCAAAUAACCUUUGAUCCGAGGAUUUCCGAAUGGGACAACCCGGCCGUCUGAAGGACGGUCACUAUGCAAUGGCAUAGGGCAAACGCAGGGAACUGAAACAUCUUAGUACCUGCAGGAAGAGAAAAUAAGUUAAUGAUUCCCCUAGUAGUGGCGAGCGAACGGGGAAUAGCCCAAACCAUGACUGUGGCAACGCAGCCAUGGGGUUGUAGGACCACGCUGUAGCACGAUACUUGUGAGAAGAACGUUCUGGAAAGAACGGCCAUAGACGGUGAUAGCCCGGUAAUCGAAGCAAGUUGAAGCUUAGUGGUAUCCUGAGUAACGCGGAACACGAGAAAUUCUGCGCGAAUCCGCCGGGACCAUCCGGUAAGGCUAAAUACUCCCGUGAGACCGAUAGCGAACGAGUACUGUGAAGGAAAGGUGAAAAGAACCCCGAGCAGGGGAGUGAAAUAGUUCCUGAAACCAUGCGCCUACAAGCGGUCGGAGCAUCGUAAGAUGUGACGGCGUGCCUUUUGCAUAAUGAUCCUACGAGUUACCGUCACUGGCGAGGUUGAGUACCAUGAGGUACGUAGCCGCAGUGAAAGCGAGCCUGAACAGGGCGCACAGUCAGUGGGGGUAGACGCGAAACCAAGUGAUCUACACUUGGCCAGGAUGAAGUCCCGGUAACACGGGAUGGAGGUCCGCACCAAUAAGCGUUGAAAAGCUUCUGGAUGAGCUGAGUGUAGGAGUGAAAGGCCAAUCAAACUUGGAGAUAGCUCGUACUCCCCGAAAGGCAUUUAGGUGCCGCGUCGGAUGGUCACCGUGAGAGGUAGAGCGACCGAUAGGACAAGAGGGCUUCACCGCCUAUCGAGUCCUGACGAACUCCGAAUGCUCACGGUCUGCAGUCCGGCAGUAAGGGGGCGGGUGCUAAGGUCCGUCCCCGAGAGGAGAAGAAUCCAGACCGCCGUCUAAGGUCCCGGAGUUCUGCCUGAGUUAGUCUAACGAAGUCUGGUCCCUAUGACAGCUAGGAUGUUGGCUUGGAAGCAGCCAUUCAUUCAAAGAGUGCGUAACAGCUCACUAGUCGAGGGUCCGGGCAUGGAUAAUAAUCGGGUAUAAGGCAGACACCGAAGGCGCGGGAUAGCAAUUAUAAAAGUAUCGGUAGGGGAGCAUACUCACAGCGUUGAAUGGUGUACGUAAGUUAUCCUGGAGCGGUGAGUAAAGCAAAUGUAGGAAUAAGUAACGAUAAGGAGGGUUAGAUUCCCUCCCGCUGUAAGACCAAGGUUUCCCGGGCAAUGCCAAUCAGCCCGGGGUCAGUCGGGUCCUAAGUCUAAGCCGAACGGCGAUGGCGAUGGCAGAGACGGUUAAUAUUCCGUCACUGCCGCAUGGGGCGACGUGGAGACGGAGCAGUGAAACCACCGCGGGGCGACGGAAGUCCCCGUUGAAGAGUGUAGGUGUUGAGGAUGGCAGGCAAAUCCACCAUCCGAGCUGAACUUGAUAGUACGGAGUCCUCCUCGGAGGAAUCUGAUAGUGUGGGUAAUCAUACUCCCGAGAAAAUCCGCUAAGCUUAACCCAUGCGGCACCCGUACCGCAAACGGACACACGUGGUCGGGUAGAACAUACUAAGGCGUUGAGAGAUUCAUGGUUAAGGAACUAGGCAAAUUGACCCUGUAACUUCGGGAUAAAGGGUCCUCGUGAUGAGCGAGGCGCAGAGAAUAGGUCCAGGCAACUGUUUAACAAAAACACAGGGCUGUGCAAACUCGAAAGAUGACGUAUACAGCCUGACACCUGCCCGGUGCCGGAAGGUUAAGAGGAGAUGUCACUAGCAAUAGGAAGCAUUGAAUUGAAGCCCCGGUAAACGGCGGCCGUAACUAUAACGGUCCUAAGGUAGCGAAAUUCCUUGUCGGGUAAGUUCCGACCUGCACGAAUGGUGUAAUGAUCCGGACGCUGUCUCAACCAUGAGCUCAGUGAAAUUGUAGUAUCGGUGAAGAUGCCGAUUACCCGCGAUGGGACGAAAAGACCCCGUGAACCUUUACUACAGCUUAGCAUUGACCUUGGUCAUCCGAUGUGUAGGAUAGGCCGGAGGCUUCGAAGCGGGAGCGCCAGCUUUCGUGGAGCCAUCCUUGAAAUACGGCCCUUUGGCUGUCUGAGGUCUAACGCGUGAUACGCGGACACUGCUUGGUGGGUAGUUUGACUGGGGUGGUCGCCUCCAAAAGCGUAACGGAGGCUUCCAAAGGUGCCCUCGGGUCGAUUGGUAACCGACCUCAAAGAGUGCAAUGGCAUAAGGGCGCUUGACUGGGAGGCAGACAUGCCGAGCAGGCAGGAAACUGGGGCAUAGUGAUCCGGCGGAUGUGUAUGGAAACUCCGUCGCUCAAAGGAUAAAAGGUACUCCGGGGAUAACAGGCUGAUCCCCCCCAAGAGCUCAUAUCGACGGGGUGGUUUGGCACCUCGAUGUCGGCUCGUCACAUCCUGGGGCUGGAGAAGGGCCCAAGGGGUGGGCUGUUCGCCCAUUAAAGUGGCACGCGAGCUGGGUUCAGAACGUCGUGAGACAGUUCGGUCUCUAUCUAUCGUGGGCGUAGGAGUUUUGAGUGGUGCCGUCACUAGUACGAGAGGACCGUGAUGGACAGACCUCCGGUUUACCAGUUGUGCCGCCAGGCGCACCGCUGGGUAUCUGAGUCUGGAUUGGAUAAGCGCUGAAAGCAUCUAAGUGCGAAGCCAGCCGCAAGAUGAGAACUCCAUUGAGGGUCGUCAAAGACGAUGACGUUGAUAGGAUGCAGGUGUAAAGACAGCGAUGUCAAAGCCGAGCAUUACUAAUUGCCCGAACACUUUCUUUAU
RNAcentral lists this ribosomal RNA (2894 nucleotides) under human gut metagenome. RNAcentral describes it as "bacterial LSU rRNA". It matches the Rfam family "Bacterial large subunit ribosomal RNA". The record is from RNAcentral.